This 484-nucleotide ribosomal RNA is filed under the name uncultured bacterium. RNAcentral describes it as "partial 16S ribosomal RNA". It matches the Rfam family "Bacterial small subunit ribosomal RNA", at positions 30 to 507 of the family's 1533-position model. The record is from RNAcentral.
AUUGAACGCUGGCGGCAGGCCUAACACAUGCAAGUCGAGCGGAUGACGGGAGCUUGCUCCUUGAUUCAGCGGCGGACGGGUGAGUAAUGCCUAGGAAUCUGCCUGGUAGUGGGGGACAACGUUUCGAAAGGAACGCUAAUACCGCAUACGUCCUACGGGAGAAAGCAGGGGACCUUCGGGCCUUGCGCUAUCAGAUGAGCCUAGGUCGGAUUAGCUUGUUGGUGAGGUAAUGGCUCACCAAGGCGACGAUCCGUAACUGGUCUGAGAGGAUGAUCAGUCACACUGGAACUGAGACACGGUCCAGACUCCUACGGGAGGCAGCAGUGGGGAAUAUUGGACAAUGGGCGAAGGCCUGAUCCAGCCAUGCCGCGUGUGUGAAGAAGGUCUUCGGAUUGUAAAGCACUUUAAGUUGGGAGGAAGGGUUGUAGAUUAAUACUCUGCAAUUUUGACGUUACCGACAGAAUAAGCACCGGCUAACUCUGUG